This 139-nucleotide long non-coding RNA is filed under the name Sus scrofa (pig). Its description in RNAcentral is "lncRNA (ENSSSCG00015036660.1)". Lineage: Eukaryota; Metazoa; Chordata; Mammalia; Artiodactyla; Suidae. The record is from RNAcentral.
CUAGAAUGAACCCAGUCUACAAGGAAAAUAGAAUUUGCCUUGUGACCUUGACGUCUGUUUGGAUCCGGGAAGGUGACUGGCGUCUGGAACACGCUCCCUGGGCAGGAACUGUUUGCGCGCGGCCCGCAUCCGGGAUUUC